RNAcentral lists this long non-coding RNA (918 nucleotides) under Phoenix dactylifera (date palm). RNAcentral's name for it is "long non-coding RNA (PDAC_LNC017062)". The record is from RNAcentral. Lineage: Eukaryota; Viridiplantae; Streptophyta; Magnoliopsida; Arecales; Arecaceae.
UAUGCUGCUAUAGAUCUGGUAACAAUAGGGAAGCCCAUCAGACAACAACAAGAAUGCUCAAUGAAGGCAGAUUAUCCCCCUCAUAAUAUAAAAAACUAAAAAUGUAUCAGAACCACUAUAUUAAGGAAACUUAGCAAACUCACUAAACACAACUUGUAAACUCUUGAUUCUUCCACAUUAAGUAGUUGUUCACAAGCAAAGGACCCGUGUGCUGCAGAGGAGGGGGAAAGAAAAGUGGGAAAGGAGAGGAAGAUGGUAAGUUAACAUGGAUUGUCACAUGGGAUUUUGAAGUAAAGAAGGCCUCCUGUUUGUCAACCCCAGAAUUCUAAUUGCCUUAGUAAGUUACUUUCCUAGAUUAGAAAUGUCUUUUCUAUUGAUUUGCCUUACUAGUAUAAAGAGAUUACAAAUUCAAAAUACAUUAUAGAAGGUCUCAAGUACAGGAAGAGCCAGAUCUUAUACAAUCCGACAUUCCAACAAUUAUUUCCUUUACUUUGUUGGUCAUCCUUGAUCAACCAAUUUGGCCACAUUGGAGCAACAAAUAUAAGACAUAGAACUAUAACGGCAUAGGAGCACCACAACAGAGAUUGUUAGACACCCUAGAGAUAGGAUGCUGAUAAAAAAUGCUCAAAAUUGUAAAAAGUAAGCAGCAAAAAAAUGAGGAAAAUUAGAAAAUGGUCCUUAAAAGGAAAACAGGAAAGCAAAAAUGGCAAUCUCACCAUGUUCACAGCUUCACAUAAAAGAGCAGAAAAUUAUAACAAUUGGUUUAGAUCAUCAAUUCAUCUGUUACAGUAUGGUUCAUCCAGGAAGACCCAACAAAAGGUGAUAUAUAUAUUUUACACUCCACAUUGUUUUCUUCUCUUGAUAGACUCAAAAGAAGCGUAUAUCCUGCAGUAGAAAUGACUUACUGACUUAGCAAAC